ACGAACGCUGGCGGCGUGCUUAACCCAUGCAAGUCGAACGGUGAAGCGCCUUCCUUUUUGGUGGGUGUGGAUGAGUGGCGAACGGGUGAGUAACACGUGAGUAACCUGCCCCCUUCUUCUGGAUAACCGCAUGAAAGUGUGGCUAAUACGGGAUAUUCUGGGUCUGUCGCAUGAUGGGUCUGGGAAAGAUAUUGUUUCGGUGGGGGAUGGGCUCGCGGCCUAUCAGCUUGUUGGUGGGGUGAUGGCCUACCAAGGCGGUGACGGGUAGCCGGCCUGAGAGGGUGGACGGUCACACUGGGACUGAGACACGGCCCAGACUCCUACGGGAGGCAGCAGUGGGGAAUAUUGCACAAUGGGCGCAAGCCUGAUGCAGCGACGCCGCGUGAGGGAUGGAGGCCUUCGGGUUGUGAACCUCUUUCGCCAGUGAAGCAGGCCUGCCUCGUUUGUGGGUGGGUUGACGGUAGCUGGAUAAGAAGCGCCGGCUAACUACGUG
Molecule: ribosomal RNA, 493 nt
Filed under: uncultured bacterium
Lineage: Bacteria
Description: partial 16S ribosomal RNA
Rfam family: Bacterial small subunit ribosomal RNA
Source: RNAcentral